AACGAACGCUGGCGGCAUGCCUAACACAUGCAAGUCGAACGAGACCUUCGGGGCUAGUGGCGCACGGGUGCGUAACGCGUGGGAACCUGCCCUUAGGUUCGGAAUAACUCAGAGAAAUUUGAGCUAAUACCGGAUGAUGUCUUCGGACCAAAGAUUUAUCGCCUUUAGAUGGGCCCGCGUUGGAUUAGCUAGUUGGUGGGGUAAAGGCCUACCAAGGCGACGAUCCAUAGCUGGUCUGAGAGGAUGAUCGGCCACACUGGGACUGAGACACGGCCCAGACUCCUACGGGAGGCAGCAGUGGGGAAUAUUGGACAAUGGGCGAAAGCCUGAUCCAGCAAUGCCGCGUGAGUGAUGAAGGCCUUAGGGUUGUAAAGCUCUUUUACCCGAGAUGAUAAUGACAGUAUCGGGAGAAUAAGCUCCGGCUAACUCCGUG
Molecule: ribosomal RNA, 433 nt
Filed under: uncultured bacterium
Lineage: Bacteria
Description: partial 16S ribosomal RNA
Rfam family: Bacterial small subunit ribosomal RNA
Source: RNAcentral